Molecule: small RNA, 3558 nt
Filed under: Pongo abelii (Sumatran orangutan)
Lineage: Eukaryota; Metazoa; Chordata; Mammalia; Primates; Hominidae
Description: retained intron
Source: RNAcentral
GGACGUCCACGAUCUCUUUCGCCGGCUCGGCGCGGGGGCCAAAUUCGACACGAGACGCUUCUCGGCAGACGCAGCUCGAUUCCAGAUAGGAAAAAGGAAAUAUGACUUUGAUUCUUCGGAGGUGCUUCAGGGACUGGACUUUUUUGGAAACAAGAAGUCUGUCUCAGGUGUGUACAGUGGAGCAUCACAAACACAUCAGAAGCCCCAAAAUGGAGAGAAAAAAGAAGAGAGCCUAACUGAAAGGAAGAGGGAGCAGAGCAAGAAAAAAAGGAAGACGAUGACUUCAGAAAUUACUUCCCAAGAAGAAGGUGCUACUAUACAGUGGAUGUCAUCUGUAGAAGCAAAGAUUGAAGACAAAAAAGUUGAGAGAGAAAGUAAACUAACUUCCGGAAAGUUGGAGAAUCUCAGAAAAGAAAAGAUAAACUUCUUGCGGAAUAAACACAAAAUUCACGUCCAAGGAACCGAUCUUCCUGACCCAAUUGCUACAUUUCAGCAACUUGACCAGGAAUAUAAAAUCAAUUCUCGACUACUUCAGAACAUUCUAGAUGCAGGUUUCCAAAUUCCUACGCCAAUCCAAAUGCAAGCCAUCCCAGUUAUGCUGCAUGGUCGGGAACUUCUGGCUUCUGCUCCAACUGGAUCUGGAAAAACAUUAGCUUUUAGCAUUCCUAUUUUAAUGCAGCUGAAACAACCUGCAAAUAAAGGCUUCAGAGCCCUGAUUAUAUCACCAACACGAGAACUUGCCAGCCAGAUUCACAGAGAGUUAAUAAAAAUUUCUGAGGGAACAGGAUUCAGGAUACACAUGAUCCACAAAGCAGCAGUGGCAGCCAAGAAAUUUGGACCUAAAUCAUCUAAAAAGUUUGAUAUUCUUGUGACUACUCCAAAUCGACUAAUCUAUUUAUUAAAGCAAGAUCCCCCCGGAAUCGACCUAACAAGUGUUGAGUGGCUUGUAGUAGACGAAUCAGAUAAACUGUUUGAAGAUGGCAAAACUGGGUUCAGAGACCAGCUGGCUUCCAUUUUCCUGGCCUGCACAUCCCACAAGGUCCGAAGAGCUAUGUUCAGUGCAACUUUUGCAUAUGAUGUUGAACAGUGGUGCAAACUCAACCUGGACAAUGUCAUCAGUGUGUCCAUUGGAGCAAGGAAUUCUGCAGUAGAAACUGUAGAACAAGAGCUUCUCUUUGUUGGAUCUGAGACUGGAAAACUUCUGGCCAUGAGAGAACUUGUUAAAAAGGGUUUCAAUCCACCUGUUCUUGUUUUUGUUCAGUCCAUUGAAAGGGCUAAAGAACUUUUUCAUGAGCUCAUAUAUGAAGGUAUUAAUGUGGAUGUUAUUCAUGCAGAGAGAACACAACAACAGAGAGAUAACACAGUCCACAGUUUCAGAGCAGGAAAAAUCUGGGUUCUGAUUUGUACAGCCUUGCUAGCAAGAGGGAUUGAUUUUAAAGGUGUGAACUUGGUGAUCAACUAUGACUUUCCAACCAGCUCAGUGGAAUAUAUCCACAGGAUAGGUGAGUUGUCUUUUUUUCCUUCCCCUCUGUCACCCACUGAUCUGUCUUAGGACCCCUGCUAUUCCCUGCGCAUAUGCUCACUUCUUAGUGCUGUGAAAAUCCAGUGACUUUUAUAAAAGAAUUUUGAGAGCCUCCUUCCCCCCAAAAUGUGUUUUUUAAUGGUCUAAUUUUUCUUAGGUCGAACUGGAAGAGCAGGGAAUAAGGGAAAAGCAAUUACAUUUUUCACUGAAGAUGAUAAGCCAUUAUUAAGAAGGUAAAUUAGAAAAAAUAACCUAGUGUUAUUGGCAAAAUUGCUUCAUUAUUCUUAUAUGUAUAUUCAAUUAAGAGAUAAUUACAAAAUGGCUGUGUCCCAAAUUCUACUGAUAAUGGUGUUAGUUGACCAAAUUUUAGCCAUGGGAAAGGAAAAAUGAUCAAAAGGCCUUGUUUUUGCCCUUCCAUUAUUAGAAUUUGGAAAUACAUAUUCAAAAUGGAAUGUUCAUUUUAAGUUUCAGACUCAUAGGACUCUUUCAAUGGUUGAUGUUAGAUUUUAAUGUAGAAGAUGAGUUUCCUGCAUUUUGACUGCCUACAGUAAUUUUUGGUUGAUGAUGAUUAACACUUCACAUUUUUAGCUAAUGAAAUCUAGUUUUGGCCAAAGGGGGUUUGUACUUAGAUCUGUUUAUCAGUUUUGGUAAAUAUUUAGAUUGUGCUUUCUGAGCUUUGGCUCUGCCACCUGUCAGCCUUUGUAUUGCUUUAAGCAGAUUCAGAUGUGCGUGUGUAGGGGGUAUAUUCCAACAGCCUGUCCACCAUAGGCCUCAGCAACUCCAAGCAUGUGAAUCUCAUGACCCAAAUAUUAGUGUAACUAUGCACCUCAGUUUUCCAUCUGUGAAAUGAGGAUAGUGAUAGUAUUUACAAACACAGGCCUGUUGUGAAGAGUGAAGAAGUUACUAUACACAAAAAACUUGGCAACAGUGCCAACCCCAUAGUAGGCACUUUCACUUAAUGAAUUUAAGCUUGACUCUGGCUUCAGUCAGUGCUUCCUCCAAGAUUGAGUUUACCAGCUUUAUAGGGCUUGAUAAAUGUUGAAAUAGCUGCUAUCCAUAGUUAUUCAUCAAUGCAUUAAUUUCAGCCCAGUGGAUAGUUCUAUCUGUAAUCCAAUGUGCUUACAUCAGGUAAUAAUUGAUAAUAUAUCAGAACACUUUGUGGAUUACUUUGUGUAGUUUUAGUUCCCCAUAAGGUUGUACGGAGGGUUUACAUUCAUAAACAUCAAUUUAGCAAAGAUACAAGUUUAUGUUUAUGGGUUUCUUUUUCAGCGUUGCCAAUGUUAUACAGCAGGCCGGGUGUCCUGUACCAGAAUACAUAAAAGGUUUUCAGAAACUACUAAGCAAACAAAAGAAAAAGAUGAUUAAGAAACCAUUGGAAAGGGAGAGCAUUAGUACAACUCCAAAAUGUUUCUUAGAAAAAGCUAAGGAUAAACAGAAAAAGGUCACUGGUCACAACAGCAAGAAGAAAGUAGCUCUUGAAGACAAAAGUUAAAAACAGACUUUAAAAAUACUGUCCCAGAAAUGUAAUUUUAUGAUCCCAGCAUGAAUGUUGUUUUCAUGGAAUACUUGAAGUCUUACAGUCACCUGUACCAAACGUUUGAAAUCAACUACAAGUACAUGGGACUGGUGAUAAAUGAUCCUAAACUAUCAAGUCAAUUUCAAUUUGUAGGUGCCUUUUUUUUUUUUUCCUGUAGAGAUGAGGGUCUCGCCAUGUUGCCCAGACUGGUCUUGAACUCCUGACCUCACACAAUCCUCCUGCCUCAGCCUCCUGAGUAGCUGAGAUUACAGGCACAAGCUGCUGCACCCAGCUCUGUAGGUGACUUUUAAAUGAUUAUACAAUGGAAGUAACAUUCAUUGACAUUUCUGUGGUUUGAAUCCAGAGAGAUACUUCUUAUAGAAGAACAAAUGUUUAUGCUAAAAAUAACACCAAAAUGUGGUGAACUCUUAAGGACUUUUCCCUUCAAGUGUGAAGGAAGGUGUGAUGAAUGCUGUGGAGAGGCAUCUGGAACAGAAAUUCAAAAUAAAGCCUUGACAUU